This 6583-nucleotide long non-coding RNA is filed under the name Lactuca sativa (garden lettuce). RNAcentral's name for it is "long non-coding RNA (LSAT_LNC001478)". The record is from RNAcentral. Lineage: Eukaryota; Viridiplantae; Streptophyta; Magnoliopsida; Asterales; Asteraceae.
GAUAUAGACAUAAAACCAUGGGAUUACCAUCCCGAACGAGAUAUAGAUACAAGACCAUGGGAUUAUCAUCCCGAACAAGAUAUAGAUUCUAAACAAAAUCCUAGCUGUGAAUAAGUUUAUAUUAAUACGUAUUGUGAGUCGGGUAACCAUGCUGAUAUGACAACGAGACCUCCUUGACGUUAGUCAGACGUCGAANNNNNNNNNNNNNNNNNNNNNNNNNNNNNNNNNNNNNNNNNNNNNNNNAUAGAACCCCAAAUUAUUCCCAUAAUAAUUUGAUUAGUUUGAUUAUUUUCUUAACUAAAAUCCAUUUAGUUGUAAUCGAUAAAUCAUUCCUUAUGCUCAACAUAAUACAUAAGGAGUAAAAGAGUUUAUAAGUUGCCAGAUAUUAUUUGAAAUACAUCAAUGUUAUAAUUCGAAAACAGUUAUAGUUUUGCUUGUAUUCCCCCCCUGAAAACAUUGAAAAACACUGAAAAAGGCGUAGGGGUAUGAACUCACCGGACGAGAAAUGUGACGAUUCGGAUGCUAAGAGUUGAUCCGGGGCUUGUAAAUACACGAGGUUCCUAAUUAUAAUGUAAAGAUACACAUUUGUAUCUAAUUAGGACUUAGUUUAUUCAUAUGAUAGGGACACUUGCUUCAAGUCGCGAAAACACUCCGAUACGAGUGUUUGGAGGGACCCGGGUGGCGUUUAAGGACGUGAAUGAUGCAAGGGACUUAGGAAAUGAGUUGGGACUUCAAAGGAACACCCCCUUUAGGGUGUUUACGGCCACAAGAACCAUUCCCCAUGAUUUUACGGCCGUAAACUCAUGGUGGGUUCAAAUAUGGGCAAAAAUGACUUCAAACACUUAGGGGAAUUUUUUCUAGGUUUGGUUCAAAGUCUUGGAAUGGAUUUUUAUCAUCAAAAUGACACAUUUUAGGGAGUUUACGGCCUAGCAUGGUCUCAUGGCCGUAAACUCCUAUAAAUCCAUGAAAAGUUGUGUUUUUGGAUCCCAAACUAAUCACAUGUGAUUGCUAAAAUUGUACCAAAGCCUUAUAUGCAUUUGUUUGAAAUUUUGAAGGGAUUUUUGGAGUUUACGGCCAAUGAGACCCUUCUCAUGGCCGUAAACUCUCAUAGAGAGUAAAUCCUUGUGUUUUAAUGCCAAGAACUUGUUUGCAUGGACUUCUAAAAUUCAUUCCAAGGCUUUAGGGGUGGUUUAAUGACAUUUUGACAUGGUUUUAUGAUUUUACGGCCAAAGGCUAUGUGCUUAGGCCAUAAACUCCUAAAUGUGACGCAUUUGAUGUGUUUAAGGCCUCCAAACCAUUUUUAGAUGAUUCUAGGAUUUACCACAAGGUCAUUGGCUGAGUUUCAGGGCAUUUGGGCAUGUUUUAGGGCACUUAAUCCCCCUUUUAGAGGAGUUUACGGCCCAAGCACAUACCUUGGCCGUAAGCUCUUAUUUGUCCCCCAAAAAUGAUGUUUCAAGUGUCUAAAUGCAAUUAUCAAUGUUCUAUAAUUCAUAACUAAGACAUAUAAGUGAUUUGGAAGGGUUUAAGGGCAUGAAAACCCUAGAUAUAUGAGUUUACGGCCCAAGAAUGAUCCUUGGCCGUAAACUCCUUCAAACAUCACAAAGUUCAUGUUUUAAAUGUUCUAAGUCCAUAUCUUGAAGUCCCUUAGCCAUAUCUAAAGUCCAAAUGAGUUUAGGAAGGAGUUUAAGGGCUUAAAACCCUUCAAAUUGGUGUUUACGGCCUANAUUGUUUAGAGUCCAUAUCUUGAAGCCAUUUAGCCAUAUCUAAGUCCCAAACUUGUCAAGGAGGGGUUUAAGGGCUUAAAAACCCACUUAAUAUGAGUUUACGGCCAAUGAAUGCUCCAUGGCCGUAAACUCAUGAAUAUGGUCAUAAAUCAUGUUUUGAACUUGAAUUUGAAGGCUAAGGAGGUUACAAUACAAGCUAAGGAGUGUACCUUAGAGAUUUGAAGCCUUAAAUUUGAGUUUUGGACCCUUAAACUUGGAUUUAGGAGAGAGGUUAGAGAGAGAGUAGAGAGAGAAGGAAAAAGCUUCAAAUGGAUGCUAAAACACGUUUAUAUAGGUCUUAAAACUUGUACGCGGUGGAAUUCUACCCGAUACCGACGUUAAACGCAGCUUUUGGUCGCACCCGAUUAAGUUACCGUCACCCAGCGGGGACAUUUUUAAAACUUAUGAAAUAAUUAUAUUCGGGCUAAUUACGUGAGUUCCUGAGUGAUUUAGACACUUAUUAAAUUAAAAUCAACGUAUAAGUUUAUAUAAUUAACCCAAAGAGAAAACAGAACGAAUUUGAUAACGGCGACCUUUCGGGUAGAACGGGUUUUGGCGAUGAACAAUUUCAGGUUGUUACAUUAUCCCCCCGUUAGAGGGAAUUUCGUCCCGAAAUUCAAAGAAUAACACAUAGAUCAUGAGUUUGAAAUGAGACUCGAAUGGAUUUGUUAGAUUGGAUCUUCACUUUCUCAAGUGGAAUCGAGUCUCUACUAGGCGUUCUAGUGAAUUCUCACUAUCGGGACGUGUCCUUGUUUCGUACCUUGAUUCUCUCUCAAUCUAUGUUAUCAAUCGGUUUUCUCUUGGAAGUUCCAACCCUGGACGACUUCGGUUUCCUCAAGGAAUUACUAGGGUUUCGUUGGGUAGAAGCUUCUAAGGAUUCGAGACAUGAUGUACUGGAUAGAUGUUAACAAGUUCUACGAGCAUCCGAACCUUGAAGAUUGUAAAAUCAAUCUCUACGAAGAUCUCGAAAAGUAUGGCGUGGAACUAAACUUUAGACGUUCGAAUGAAAUUCCCGGAAACUCUUCGGGACAAAUAUUUUAGUAGAAAGGGCUACUAACUUCUCGUUUCUUAAUGAUCACAGAAACGAGGAAUGUGUGGUAAUUCGUAUAAGGAAAACUCUUGAGUUUUAAAGCAUGAACAAUACAAAGCUUUGAUGCCGAAGAUCAUGAGAGUUGGGUUGAGGAAAAGAUAUAAACAGGCGACCCUCUCGAAAUCAAGAUAACAAUAUGAAUGAGACUCAGUCAUUCCAUGUUAGACGUAGCAUCAAAGCAUUCCCGUGAAAAGUUUCCCAUUUAACCGAAUAGAACAGAAUAGUCCUCUGGACUGAGGAUUCAAUCUAUAGGUAUGAAGUUAGUGUUCUCUAUCUCACUAGUUAGUCGUCUCGACGGUACACAUUUUGAUUAUAUGCGAAGGAUUGAGUUUUGAAAUUGUUCUAAUAGAUAGAUAACAGGUUUCCCUUUUGUACCAAAAUCGAAAAGAGUUGCAAGUAUAAGAAUUAUCAAAGAGAAUAUACCUGCAGCAACAGAGGGAUUUGUGGUUGUAGCUGUCUUGGGACAAUUCCUUUUGAAGUGUCCAGCUUCACCACAAUUGUAACAGGCCGGACUGAUUCCCGUUCCGGAUGAUUGGUUCGUUGGCUUGGUUGGUUUUCUGCAGGUUUGCGCAAGAUGGCCCUUAUUGCCACAGUUGUCGCAGAUCCUUUUGCGACAUGGACUAGAAAUGCGGUGGUGGUAGUUGCACUUACCACACCAAGGAAGGGUACCAGUGUAUCCACUGGCAGGAGUUUGGGCUGUGGAACCGACAGCUGAAACAGCAACAGGGGCAGUAGCAGCAUGGACUGCUACCGUUUGCUGUUUCUUAGAAGACCCUUGCGUACUCUGGGCCUUCCGUUUGUUCCAGGAUUUCUUUUUGCUUCCGCCUCCACUGGUGACUGGCUCGGGGGUAGUAGCUUCUUCAUCAGAGUUGUCUUCGUGAUCUAUCAGGAUUUUCGCAAGACACUUGGCACUGUCAUAAGUGUCUGGCUUCGCAGCCAAGACAUUCCCUUUUGUUGGCUGGGUCAAACCCCAGAUGAACCUCUCUAUCUUUUUACUUUCCGGGGUAACCAUUCCCGGACAAAGUAAUGCCAAAUCAUCGAAUCUUGAGGUAUAAGCAGCUAUGUCGGAACCCUUCAUCUUAAGGUUCCAAAGUUCGUGUUCUAGUUUCUGAAGUUCGCCCCGAGGGCAAUACUCUGCGAGAAGAAGCUCCUUCAUAGCUUCCCAACCCAUAGCAUUGGCUACAGGUAAAGUUAAGGAUUUGACUCGGCCAUUCCACCAAGUCAGGGCUUUGUCUAGGAAGGUACAGGCGGCAAACUUGACUCUAUCAGACUCCGAACAGCCACAUAUUUCAAAGAUUGAUUCGAUUCUCUCGAACCAUCGGGUUAAGGCAAUGACACCCCCUGUGCCAUCGAAGAAUGUCGGUUUUGCGUUCAUGAAGUCUUUAUAGGAACCCCCUUUUUGGUGUCCCUGGCUAUCAUCUGGGUUUUGGGUUUCACCUCCCGAACCCCUAGAGUUCAGUUGAGGUAAGAGAGCUGAUAUGGUAGCGGAAAUGGUUGCCUGAAGUGUUUCCAAAUCGAUCUGAAUAGGAGGUGGUGGCGGAGGAGGAUUGUUGUUGUUCGUUGAGCUGGGUCUCUUUCUUGGAGGCAUCUUGAUCUAAAAAGAUCAGGAAAGAGAGGAUCAUAAGUCCUCUGAAUUGAAUCAAGAGAUAUGGGACAGGAGAUAUCUCAUCAAGGCAAAUAUAGCAUCAUACUAAGCGAUAAAGCAGAAAGGAGUUAUCAAGAUAGAACAUUUUAUUGCUAGAGGAAUAAUCGAGGAAUAACGCGUAUACAGGAAUUUCUAUAAAGGAUUGGCUCGAGAAAUACUCCCAUAGUAUUUCAUGGUUCGCUGCAGCGACGAUUUGUUGUUUGGGAUAUUGGGUAAGUUUUAGGUAUGCCGCAUGCCACAGUCACUCCCAAGCACAUGUUGGCCGUGUCUCGAAUGAAUAUAGUUGGCCAGGCUAUAUUGACCCUAGACACGACUACAUAACUGCCCAGGUUUAACCGCAGUGUACAACACCCAUUUACUUAUGUUUUGUUCUACUUAUAGUUACGGAUUUCGACGGCUCGGCAUACUUAAAUACUUUUGAAAAUACUUAUAUCUUGUAGGAUACUUUUAGUUCAGAGCACUUAGGCCCCUUAAUGUUUAUAGUUUUAUACCAUGUAAGGUUUGGUAUACUCUGUUCACUAUAAACAAGGGCUCUGAUACCAAUCUGUCACACCCCGAAAACCAAAGGCGGAAACGUUCCCGGGGUUGACUCCACGUUGAGUAUCAAAUCCAAUGUACAUAGUAAUCACAGUAAACAACCAUUACAUUACAUAUAUAUGAAAGUUUACAUUUGGUUCAAAAGUAAAUUGUACAAAAGUUAUACAUAUAUCAUAUGAACAAAAGAGACGAGUCUUCGGAGCACUCCGUCUUCACCAAAAGAUAUCGCCGGGUACCUGUCUAACUUGGACCUGAGAAUACAAGCAGUUUGAAAAUCAGCAUAAAGCUGGUGAGUUCAUAAGCGGUUUUGUUUUGUGAAAAUGUAUCGGUUUCCUUUAGUUUUCUGAAAAGAUUUGAUAUCCAAGAAAAUCCCAUAUUUUCUUAUGUAAAGUAGUUAAGUUAUCUUUCGUUACAGUUCUGUUACAAGUUAUAAGUUAACCCCAGGAAAAUCCCAUAUUUUCCUAAAUGCAAGAUUGAUUGAAUAACACAUAGUAUAGUUUAAUAUACAAAACUAUAAUUUAGACGAACUGUAGAUAGAAAGUAUUUUGAAAACCUUGGGACUAACAUCCCGAACCAGUUAUAAGAUAAUUCGAUAAAGACCAUGGGAUCACUAUCCCGAAAAUAGAUAUAAGAUAGCUUGAUAAACCAUGGGAUCACUAUCCCGAAACUAGAUAUAUGAUAGAUUGAUAAAAUCAUGGGAUUAUCAUCCCGUAUAAGAUUUAGCUUCAAAACCAUGGGAUUACCAUCCCGAACGAGAUAUAGACACAAGAUCAUGGGAUUAUCAUCCCGAACGAGAUAUAGACAUAAAACCAUGGGAUUACCAUCCCGAACGAGAUAUAGAUACAAGACCAUGGGAUUAUCAUCCCGAACAAGAUAUAGAUUCUAAACAAAAUCCUAGCUGUGAAUAAGUUUAUAUUAAUACGUAUUGUGAGUCGGGUAACCAUGCUGAUAUGACAACGAGACCUCCUUGACGUUAGUCAGACGUCGAAUGAUAUACAUAAUUUGUCACCCCAGGCGUGCCCGCCUAACUGUAGCUAGCAGUUAAGGUGUGGGAUUGUCAGUCCCGAAUAGAUCUAUUCACAAAUUCCUCGCUCUCCCUCCAGGAGACUCUGGUUACACUUCCGGAGAGGAUUUACUUGAUCAUCCAUAAAGGGUAGUGACUAUCUCACAAGCUAGUAUUAAACUAUUCACAGGAUUCUCAUACGAUACGAAACAUACAAAGAUUUUAAGACAUGAUACAGUGAAAAUAGUUACAUACAAGAAACUAUCUGGCAAUACAUUCAAAUGAUACGGAGAUAAACUGAAUCAGACAUAGUUUAUCUAAUAAUUUAAUACAGAUAUCGAUACAUGAUAUAAAGAGAAACAUAGAACCCCAAAUUAUUCCCAUAAUAAUUUGAUUAGCUUGAUUAUUUUCUUAACUAAAAUCCAUUUAGUUGUAAUCGAUAAAUCAUUCCUUAUGCUCAACAUAAUACGUAAGGAGUAAAAGAGUUUAUAAGUUUGCCAGAUGUUAUUUGGAACAUAUAAAUGUUAUGGUUUGAAAACAGUUAU